This 397-nucleotide ribosomal RNA is filed under the name uncultured Methanosaeta sp. Its description in RNAcentral is "bacterial SSU rRNA". It matches the Rfam family "Archaeal small subunit ribosomal RNA", at positions 943 to 1338 of the family's 1478-position model. Lineage: Archaea; Methanobacteriati; Methanobacteriota; Methanomicrobia; Methanotrichales; Methanotrichaceae. The record is from RNAcentral.
CAAUAGUGAAGGUCAGGCUGAAGACCUUACCCGAUUAGCUGAGAGGUGGUGCAUGGCCGUCGUCAGUUCGUACUGUGAAGCAUCCUGUUAAGUCAGGCAACGAGCGAGACCCACGUCCACAGUUGCCAGCAUACCCUCCGGGGUGAUGGGUACACUGUGGAGACCGCCGCUGCUAAAGCGGAGGAAGGAGUGGGCAACGGUAGGUCAGUAUGCCCCGAAUCUCCCGGGCUACACGCGGGCUACAAUGGUUGGUACAAUGGGCAUCUACCCCGAAAGGGGAAGGAAAUCUCUUAAAGCCAAUCGUAGUUCGGAUUGAGGGCUGCAACUCGCCCUCAUGAAGCUGGAAUCCGUAGUAAUCGCGUUUCAACAGAACGCGGUGAAUACGUCCCUGCUCCUU